UAAGCGACUAAAUAAUAGUUUCGACCUAUUACCAGAAGGUAAGCCUUCCACUUA
RNAcentral lists this transfer RNA (54 nucleotides) under Ramisyllis kingghidorahi. RNAcentral describes it as "Ramisyllis sp. k GPS-2021 tRNA-Arg". Lineage: Eukaryota; Metazoa; Annelida; Polychaeta; Phyllodocida; Syllidae. The record is from RNAcentral.